RNAcentral lists this unclassified non-coding RNA (345 nucleotides) under soil metagenome. RNAcentral describes it as "partial contains 5.8S ribosomal RNA, internal transcribed spacer 2, and large subunit ribosomal RNA". The stretch from base 1 to 120 matches the Rfam family "5.8S ribosomal RNA", at positions 35 to 154 of the family's 154-position model. The record is from RNAcentral.
GAUGAAGAACGCAGUGAAAUGCGAUAAGUAGUGUGAAUUGCAGAAUUCAGUGAAUCAUCGAGUCUUUGAACGCACAUUGCGCCCCCUGGUAUUCCGGGGGGCAUGCCUGUCCGAGCGUCAUUGCUGCCCUCAAGCACGGCUUGUGUGUUGGGCCUCCGUCCUCCUCCCGGGGGACGGGCCCGAAAGGCAGCGGCGGCACCGCGUCCGGUCCUCGAGCGUAUGGGGCUUCGUCACCCGCUCUUGUAGGCCCGGCCGGCGCUUGCCGACACAUCAAUCUUUUUUCCAGGUUGACCUCGGAUCAGGUAGGGAUACCCGCUGAACUUAAGCAUAUCAAUAAGCGGAGGA